CUGAGUAGUAGUCUGUCUCCACAUUCAGAAGGCACUUUUAAAAGAGCAACCUUAAGGAGUGCUUAAAUAAAACAAAUUCACCACACAAAGAUUUCUUACCAGACUGACCACAUUCUUGGCAAUGUAAUAAGGGGCUGAAGAUUUGUUUGCAAAUCCAGUCUUGUUGCUUUUUGGACAUCUUGUUGCAUGGGAAAAUAAUUGCACCUUUUAUCAUGCAAAUGUGAGGUCCAGAGGUCAGGGAAAUGAUACACAAUUUUUUAGAAGGGAACAUAGAAGACAUUUUGUAUGCAUGCUCAUAAAGGGGAGGAAUGGCACUGGAAUGUGGGAGGAUAGGGAGAAAAAGUCUAAAGAUCCGAUGUCUGCAGGAAAACGGGGCUAUAGGGUGACUGCUGUCCUUGCUGUCCUCAGUGAGAGAAUAUAUCAGGCAAAUUCAGGAUAACACCACACCCUACUUCCUUAUUGUGAACUAGAGGGAUUGCUCCACUCCUCCUCUGCACCAUUACCUCCUGUCCCACCUUGCCUGGAGGAAGAACAGACUUCCUUGGGGCAGGUGCCUCCCAGCUGGGGUGAGGAGCAGGGACAGUCAAGAGCUGCUGAACUGCAGGGUGGUUUGAAGAGCACCACCGAGAGGCCGUGACUGGAGACAAAGGAGGCGCUGGGUAAACGAGUGGAGGAAAGGCAGCUUUGAGUUGGAAGUUGCAGAAGGAAUUGCUGAGCAGGACAGAGUAGAGCAGAGGGACUUUUGAGGGACCAGAGAAGCCGCAUUUGGGUGCUGAGAAGCAGCUAAGGAGCUUAGCUCCAAGCUGGAAAGCUUACACAGAUAAUGAGCCCAGAAAGAGGGAUAAAGGAAAUACUUCAAUGAUGCAAGGAGUGGGUUCAUAUUUACCAUCUCUCUCCUUGUUUUUAUUUAGGUAUGAGUCAAAUCUGGCUGGCCUCCCUCACAUGAGAAGUGCCACCAAACACUAGCCAGCUAGUCUACUCUGAGGAGCAGGGGGAGUCUAUGUAUAUCAAAGUCGUCAGUAAUUAAUGUGUAUAUGACAGAACACAUUGGAAAAAAUGCACCAGAGACCUGAGAAUGGUUAUGUGUGAAGACUAGUUGUAUUUUAAAGAAUUUCUCUGCCUCUUUCCAGGACAAAAAACAUGCACAGUCACUUAUCUUGAGUUUUAAUAUAGCUAUUGUUCUGCUCAAUACCACUUCGGCUUCCUCUAAAUAAUCAACACAAAUUUCCUCAGAUUUUUACGAUUGCUCAUCCACUAGUCUGUCCCAUUCAAUUCACUUGAAUUUUCUAAAGAACACAGGAUUCACGUUUUCCAGCUAAAUUCAUGUUUACAUAAGAUUGCAGAAGAAAUCAGGCAAUAGAGCUAUGACUAGAAUCAGGCUUGUAAGCUCUUACUAUUUCCAGAUUGGCAUGGACAAACUCUUAACUUACUGUUUGUUCAGGCCCAUAAAGAGCUAGGUAACUAUGAUCCUUGCACCAAAGUAAUUCCUCUACUUUUAGUCUGAUUCUGACCUCACACAAACGCAAAAGAAUUUCUGACUUUUGUCCCUGGACAUGAUGCGUGCAGGUCUUUGGGUAAUACUUAAACUGUGAACACAGUUCAAGGUUAUCAUUCCACAUUAACAAGGGUUGGCUGAGAGAGUAAUCUAAAGUAACCAAUUAAGAAUUACAAUGGGCGCCUGUUGGAAUUUUCUCUGUGAGGCCUCUCUGUUACAGGCCUAGUCCUGCAGUCUUGGCUCUGAAGGGCUUUGACAUUGAGGCAGGAUUGCGAGUUUGAGUCCUGUGGGAAAAGCUCGCUUACAAGCGUCGCUAGUUUGCAAUGAAACAAAUCUCAGCUUUCGUUCAGGGUUUCACUACAGCUAAGUUUCCCAUAAAUGAGUUCCACAGAAUGAAUUACUGGGUCUAAAAAUGACUCAAUUACCUUUUUCCUAAUGUUCUGAGAUUGCUUUCAGGGUGCGAGUUUGAAUCCAUCUAGGUACUGAGUAUGCAGCAUUGCAUUUCUCCUCAGAGGAAGAAUAACCAGGUUACUAGAAGGACAAGAAAAUAACCUAAAUUCACCUUUCAAGCCUGCAAUGUACUUGUCAGUGCAAGUUUUAUUGGGAUCUUUAAGAAUACUCAUUACAGAAAUAAAUUGUUUAAGCACACACUGCA
This is a long non-coding RNA of Struthio camelus australis, 2150 nucleotides long. The record is from Ensembl. Lineage: Eukaryota; Metazoa; Chordata; Aves; Struthioniformes; Struthionidae.